RNAcentral lists this ribosomal RNA (79 nucleotides) under Photobacterium aquimaris. RNAcentral's name for it is "partial 16S ribosomal RNA". It matches the Rfam family "Bacterial small subunit ribosomal RNA", at positions 1 to 75 of the family's 1533-position model. The record is from RNAcentral. Lineage: Bacteria; Pseudomonadati; Pseudomonadota; Gammaproteobacteria; Vibrionales; Vibrionaceae.
ACUUUAAUUGAAGAGUUUGAUCAUGGCUCAGAUUGAACGCUGGCGGCAGGCCUAACACAUGCAAGUCGAGCGGUAACAG